AUUGAACGCUGGCGGCAGGCUUAACACAUGCAAGUCGAGCGAGCGGCGGACGGGUGAGUAAUGUCUGGGAAACUGCCUGAUGGAGGGGGAUAACUACUGGAAACGGUAGCUAAUACCGCAUACCAUCAGAUGUGCCCAGAUGGGAUUAGCUAGUAGGUGUGGUAAUGGCUCACCUAGGCGACGAUCCCUCGCUGGUCGGAGAGGAUGACCAGCCACACGGGAACUGCGACACGGUCCAGACUCCUACGGGAGGCCGCAGGGGGGAAGAUUGCACCAUUGGGGCACGCCUGAUGCAGCCAUUCCGCGUGGGGGAAGAAGGCCUUCGGGUUGUAAAGCACUUUCAGCGAGGAGGCGUUACUCGCAGAAGAAGCACCGGCUAACUCCGUGCCAGCCGCCGCGGUAAUAC
This 406-nucleotide ribosomal RNA is filed under the name uncultured bacterium. RNAcentral's name for it is "partial 16S ribosomal RNA". It matches the Rfam family "Bacterial small subunit ribosomal RNA", at positions 30 to 526 of the family's 1533-position model. The record is from RNAcentral.